Long non-coding RNA from Bos taurus (domestic cattle), 2615 nucleotides. The record is from Ensembl. Lineage: Eukaryota; Metazoa; Chordata; Mammalia; Artiodactyla; Bovidae.
GUUUAAAUUACUGUAUAUACGAUAUUCAUUAUAGGCUAGCAUGCUUGUUUUAAAGACUGUCAUUCUAGUUUAUUAAAAUCUGAAUGUAAGAAAACCUGGCUAUUCAAAUGUGAAUUGAAAAAUGUUCCAUUCUCAGUACUGAACUAUUUCCAUUGAGCAUUCAGGAUUUUUGACAAAACCGAUAUCAUCAAGAAGGCAAUAGCUAGAGAAAGAGAGGUGCCUUUAAAAAAAAAAAAAUACAAAUUCAGCCUUACAGUGAGGAUGAGGAUUGAGUUGUUUUGUGGGGAAGAGGUAUGAGAGAGUGUGUGAGUGAGUGAGUGAGUGAGUGAGUGUGUGUGUGUGUGUGUGUGUGUGUCGUGAUGUUUGAAUGUUUGCCCAUCUGUGAAGGUCCUGAUUUGUGACCAUCAGUGUCUUUUUAAUGUGUCUGUAAAACUUCUAGGACUUCAGGGGACAUUUCAUGCGCUGUCUUCGUGCUCUUCUGAGCACCAAAAGUACUUUCCAAGAAUUCUGAAUGUGAAUUCCUAGAAAUUUCAGUAGAGAAGAAAAUAACUAUUAUUUCAUUAUAAAUCAAGUUCAGGUAAAAGGAGAUAUUACUGAUUCAUCAAAAUUACAGGCUCUCAUUAAUGUUAGCUAAGUAAAUGUAAUUUUUAAAGGCUCAUUUUUUUUUUUUAGUACUUCAUUUAUUUCCCCUUUACACAAGAGCAUGUCAUGCAAUUCUUAUAUGAUGAAGAUUCAACUAGUAAAAAUUGUUUUUAAAUUAAACACCUGAACUAGUUAAAAUUCCACCUAAGAAUAGUAUUUAAAUGGCAUCUUUCAUAUCUACCUCUUUGUCAUUGCUGCCAUUUUUGACUCAAGCAAAUCUUUAUGACAUCGAAAAUAAUGGUUGGAUGCAAUUUAAAAAAUCUGUGUUGGUGCUUUUCUCAGGCUAUGUCAUUUAAGUUAUAUUGAACAAAGGUGUCACAAAUCAGAUUGAAAGGCUUCGAAUUAAUUUUGAUUUUCUUUUGAAAGAACUGCUUAAAAUUUGUCAUCCAUGUUGAUAGUGAGCUGGAGAUAAUCUCUGGUUAGUAUAUGUCUAUGUGAUGUUUUCAACCAAGAGCCGAGUUGUUAUUGAUUUACAUGGGAAAGGAGCUCUGAUUUCCUUCAACUUACUUUAUUCUUUGAAAGCUGUUUCAAGGCUAUUCAGUACAUAAUCACUCAUUUUAUUUGCUCAGAAGUUGUCUCUGUUACUGUGUUACUUGUUUAGUUAUUUAUAUAAUUGCAGUAUUUUGUUUUAACACUGGGAUUCAGGUUGUACAAAAGUAGUAGCUGACAGAAAUUGUAUGUAUAUUUUUCUGAAAUGUAUCAAUUCCUUAAAUUCAUUUUAGAGGAAGGUCCAGAAAACUAACAUAUCCGUGUUUAAAAACAAAGGUCAGGUCCUUUGUAGAUGAUUUGAAGCAUUUGACUUUUGCUCCUGAAAGUUUUUUAAUUGGCCAUAUAUCCAUCAUCCAGCUGGAUCUCAGUGUCAUUCCUCGGGACACCAGGUUCACAAAGUCUGUUCACAAACAGACUGUAUCUUUUUUUUUUUUUUAAUCCAAAAAAAGCAAAUAUAAAGCCAAACAGAGAUCUCUAGAUCCCACUUACUUAUUCUAGCAGUAUUCCUGAAGUGGUGCUUAAGGGUCAGAAUUUCCUGGAUCUUUGCUAGUCAAGCUUUAGAUUUGAUUUAACUGGGACCACAUGCGUGUCAUCCCUCUGAUGCAAAUUAGAAAGUUGAUUUUAUUUCAGAUUAACUCUGAUGUCUGCCUGGGUUUUUCGCAGGCCGUGAACCAGUGAGUGCCUUGUUAAUGCAGAAUGGUUUUUCCCUGGUUGUGUGUUAGCUCCUCUCUGAAAAUUUCUCAGAGGACGGUAUUUUAGUUGGCUUGUAGAGAGCUGCUAGAUUUGGUAUUAUCAGCAAUCAGAAAGCCUUCAGUCUACCGCAUUCCACCCUCCCUACUUUGUUCUCAUUGUUUGGCUGAAAUUUACCUCUUGUGAGAAAUAAAUGCAACCCCCUUCUCAUAACUUUUUUCCAAUCCAGAUUAAGAGAUACCCUUUAUACCUAUCCCAACUAUAUAAUCUAAUACCUGUUUUUUGUUUUUAGGAAGAACCACUUCUUUGUAAUCCUGUAAUCCACUGCUUGUUUUAUGUUUCUCAAGUUCAGUUUACUAGAGCUGACCUCAGGGCAUCAGUUCAGAUUCCUAAACAGCUCCUUUUCUCCACACCCCUUCACCCCUCUAACUGGUGAGCCCUGAGCCAGAUGGUUUGAUCUUCAGAAGGGAAUCAAGGCAGUUCAGUUGCUAAGUCAUGUCCAACUCUGCGACCGCAUGGACUGCAGCAUGUCAGAUUUCCCUGUCCUUCACCAUCUCCUUGAAUUUGCUCAAGCUCAUGUCCGUUGAGUCGGUGAUGCCAUCCAACCAUCUCGUUCUCUGUCACCCUUUUCUCCUUUUGCCCUGUCUUUCCAAGAUUUGGAAGCUCAUUGGGUCUUUUCCAAUGAGUCAGUUCUUCGUAUCAGGUGGCCAGAGUAUUGGAGCUUCAGCUUCAGCAUCAGUCCUUCCGGUGAAUAUUCAGGAAUCAAGGCAAUAGUUUUUCAUAAAUAAAUAAGG